This 468-nucleotide ribosomal RNA is filed under the name uncultured bacterium. RNAcentral describes it as "partial 16S ribosomal RNA". It matches the Rfam family "Bacterial small subunit ribosomal RNA", at positions 28 to 507 of the family's 1533-position model. The record is from RNAcentral.
GACGAACGCUGGCGGCGUGCUUAACACAUGCGAGUCGAACGGAAAGGCCCUGCUUUUGUGGGGUGCUCGAGUGGCGAACGGGUGAGUAACACAUGAGUAACCUGCCCUUGACUUUGGGAUAACUUCAGGAAACUGGGGCUAAUACCGGAUAGGAGCUCCUGCUGCAUGGUGGGGGUUGGAAAGUUUCGGCGGUUGGGGAUGGACUCGCGGCUUAUCAGCUUGUUGGUGGGGUAGUGGCUUACCAAGGCUUUGACGGGUAGCCGGCCUGGGAGGGUGACCGGCCACAUUGGGACUGGGAUACGGCCCAGACUCCUACGGGAGGCAGCAGUGGGGAAUAUUGCACAAUGGGCGGAAGCCUGAUGCAGCAACGCCGCGUGCGGGAUGACGGCCUUCGGGUUGUAAACCGCUUUCGCCUGUGACGAAGCGUGAGUGACGGUAAUGGGUAAAGAAGCACCGGCUAACUACGUG